UCUCAUUUGGCUCUGGACACUUGAACAAUCUAGUGUUGGAAAUAUGCAUUGAGCCCUCAGCUGCCAUUCGUUGUUUUAAUAAACUAUCAGCAUCUUCAAUGUGUUGAAGAAGCAAUCCAUCACUUCAGUAUGACCUAGUGUGUUGUCCAGGUAAUUAGUUGUUAAGAUGAAGUAUCUACUCUGUGUGAGGUGAGCUCUGAGGGUGGAGGCGUCUCUAAAUCACACAUGGAUUGAGUUUUUCUUUCCAUUAAAGUAUCUUUAUGCUACUUGG
Long non-coding RNA from Pseudophryne corroboree (corroboree frog), 271 nucleotides. RefSeq lists it as uncharacterized. The transcript has 3 exons. Lineage: Eukaryota; Metazoa; Chordata; Amphibia; Anura; Myobatrachidae. The record is from RefSeq and is a predicted model, not a curated record.